AUUGAACGCUGGCGGCAUGCCUUACACAUGCAAGUCGAACGGCAGCGCGGGGCAACCUGGCGGCGAGUGGCGAACGGGUGAGUAAUAUAUCGGAACGUACCCAAGAGUGGGGGAUAACGUAGCGAAAGUUACGCUAAUACCGCAUACGAUCCACGGAUGAAAGCAGGGGACCUUCGGGCCUUGUGCUCCUGGGAGCGGC
RNAcentral lists this ribosomal RNA (199 nucleotides) under uncultured bacterium. RNAcentral describes it as "partial 16S ribosomal RNA". It matches the Rfam family "Bacterial small subunit ribosomal RNA", at positions 30 to 230 of the family's 1533-position model. The record is from RNAcentral.